Molecule: long non-coding RNA, 709 nt
Filed under: Citrus sinensis (sweet orange)
Lineage: Eukaryota; Viridiplantae; Streptophyta; Magnoliopsida; Sapindales; Rutaceae
Description: long non-coding RNA (CSIN_LNC001394)
Source: RNAcentral
AAAGAACCAAUAUCUCACCGAUAGACAGCAAUUUUCGAAACUGAGUGGUACACUCAUACUGCACACCACUGUCAUUAGACCAAACACCGGCUACCAUCACAGGUAGAUUUUCCAACUGUCAAAACAUUAUGAACACAAGAGUCAUAACUUGCACAUAAAGUAAAAUUAAACACAAGCCCUAAACAAAAUCAAACAAAAGGAGCCACAAUGUAUUAACCCUAAUCAAACUUCAACAAUCAUAUACUCAACAAUUAAUUAAAAGUUAAAACCAAUAAAAACGUACCCUAAUCGUGAUUACAAACAAUAUGAAUUAAAAAUAUCCGCAAACAAGCUCUGAUUUCCAGCAGAAUACUCUUAUAAUUUUUCACUUCAAUUGAGUUGAGAUUUUUUUUUUUACAAAACUUGUGCUAGAAGCUAAGAGGAAAUAGAGACAAUACUCACAAUAUACGGAAAACAAACCCCAAUUAACUAGAAAUACUACAUUAAAAAAAUUAACUAGAAAUUAAAAAGGAAAAAAUUGGACUAGUUAUUUACGAGACUGACCUUCUUCGCUGUACCAGGAGCGUUAACAUCAUUAGCGAGCGGUUGCUGGUUUUGCAGACCUUCACGUCGCUUCUUCUGCAAGCUUUCUUCUCUUUUGUUCUUUCGGAUCUCCACCAUGUUAUCCUCUCUCCUCCGGCGACCUUCAUCGGCGUCGACUGCUACCUUG